Molecule: ribosomal RNA, 460 nt
Filed under: uncultured bacterium
Lineage: Bacteria
Description: partial 16S ribosomal RNA
Rfam family: Bacterial small subunit ribosomal RNA
Source: RNAcentral
CCUACGGGAGGCUGCAGUGAGGAAUAUUGGACAAUGGACGGAAGUCUGAACCAGCCAUGCCGCGUGCGGGAAGACGGCUCUAUGAGUUUUAAACUGCUUUUGUACAAGGGUAAACCUGAAUACGUGUAUUCAGCUGAAAGUACUGUACGAAUAAGGAUCGGCUAACUCCGUGCCGGCAGCCGCGGUAAUACGGAUGAUCCAAGCGUUAUCCGGAUUUAUUGGGUUUAAAGGGUGCGUAGGCGGAUUGAUAAGUUAGAGGUGAAAUGUCCGAGCUUAACUCGGGAACUGCCUCUAAUACUGUUGAUCUAGAGAGUAGAUGCGGUAGGCGGAAUGUAUGGUGUAGCGGUGAAAUGCUUAGAGAUCAGAUAGAACACCGAUUGCGAAGGCAGCUUACCAAUCUAUAUCUGACGUUGAGGCACGAAAGCGUGGGGAGCAAACAGGAUUAGAUACCCGAGUAGUC